AUUGAACGCUGGCGGCAGGCCUAACACAUGCAAGUCGAGCGAGCGGCGGACGGGUGAGUAAUGUAUGGGAAUCUGCCCGAUAGAGGGGGAUAACUACUGGAAACGGUGGCUAAUACCGCAUACUAUCAGAUGAACCCCGAUGGGAUUAGCUAGUUGGUGGGGUAACGGCUAACCAAGGCGACGAUCUCUAGCUGGUCUGAGAGGAUGACCAGCCACACUGGAACUGAGACACGGCCCAGACUCCUACGGGAGGCAGCAGUGGGGAAUAUUGCACAAUGGGCGCAAGCCUGAUGCAGCCCUGCCGCGUGUAUGAAGAAGGCCUUAGGGUUGUAAAGUACUUUCAGCGGGGAGGCGUUACCCGCAGAAGAAGCACCGGCUAACUCCGUGCCAGCAGCCGCGGUAAUUC
This 406-nucleotide ribosomal RNA is filed under the name uncultured bacterium. Its description in RNAcentral is "partial 16S ribosomal RNA". It matches the Rfam family "Bacterial small subunit ribosomal RNA", at positions 30 to 526 of the family's 1533-position model. The record is from RNAcentral.